UUAUAGCUUUAAACCUUUCACUAAAAGCUUCACUCAUACAUAAAUUAUUGGCUGAGGGUUGUAUUAAAGAGCUGAGGUCUAUGGUGAUAGGUGGAUGGGCUGAGGGUGGUCUAUGUUGAUAGGUGGAUGGGCUGAGAGUGACUGAGGGGUUGUAUUAAAGAGCUGAGGUCUAUGGUGAUAGGUGGGAUGGGCUGGGAGUGACUGAGGGGUUGUAUUAAAGAGCUGAGGUCUAUGGUGAUAGGUGGGAUGGGCUGAGAGUGACUGAGGGGUGGGAUUAAAGAGCUGAGGACUAUGGUGAUAGGUGGGAUGGGCUGAGAGUGACUGAGGGGUUGUAUUAAAGAGCUG
Long non-coding RNA from Oncorhynchus keta (chum salmon), 345 nucleotides. RefSeq lists it as uncharacterized. The transcript is spliced from 4 exons. NCBI's taxonomy places the organism in Eukaryota, Metazoa, Chordata, Actinopteri, Salmoniformes, Salmonidae. The record is from RefSeq and is a predicted model, not a curated record.